This 333-nucleotide long non-coding RNA is filed under the name Androctonus crassicauda. The record is from RNAcentral. Lineage: Eukaryota; Metazoa; Arthropoda; Arachnida; Scorpiones; Buthidae.
AUUAUCUAUAACAUCAUUUAAUAUUUCCAAAUAUAGAAAAUCCUUGUUUAUGCAAGUACAUUAUUUUGUGAAACCUUAUAUUAGAUGAAAUAUAUAUAUGUUGGAGUACACUCACAAAGAUACAAACCAGAAAGACAUGACAAUCACAAAGACGUGACAAACAAGUUACAGAAAAGAAAAUAUGCACAUAAAUCAUUUGGAGAUGGCCACAUGAUAAAGCAAUCAUCUACCAUUUUGAAAGAUUUGGAUUCAAUUCUGAGUCUCAUACCUCAAGUUUUUCAGAAAGAGUCCAGAUUUGGGUCUGGCUCAUUAACAAAUCUCAUUAUUCAGCAC